This is a long non-coding RNA of Homo sapiens (human), 663 nucleotides long. RefSeq lists it as uncharacterized. The record is from RefSeq and is a predicted model, not a curated record. The transcript has 3 exons. Lineage: Eukaryota; Metazoa; Chordata; Mammalia; Primates; Hominidae.
GGCAACCCGCUUGUGUCCCUUUGCAUACUGUGGAAGCUUUGUUCUUUUGCUCUUUGCAGUAAAUCUUGCUACUGCUCACUCUUUGGGUCCCCGCUGCUUUUAUGAGCUGUAACAUUCACCGCGAAGAUCUGCAGCUUCACUCCUGAGCCCAGCGAGACCACAAGCCCACCGGGAGAAACGAACAACUCCAGACGUGCUGCCUUAAGAGCUGUAACACUCACCGCAAAGGUCUGCAGCUUCACUCCUGAACCAGCGAGACCACGAACCCACCAGAAGGAAGAAACUCCGAACACAUCUGAACAUCAGAAGGGACAGACUCCAGACGCGCCACCUUAAGAGCUGUAACACUCACCGCGAGGGUCCGCGGCUUCAUUCUUAAAGUCAGUGAGACCAAGAACCUACCAAUUCCGGACACAUAGAUUCAAGACAUCAGUGGAAAAAUAAACUCCAUGUAAUGGGAAUAGCAAGAAAAAUAGCACUAGAAGUGGACCUUGAAGAUUUGACUGACCUGUGGAAAUCUCAUAGUAAAACCUGAAUGGAAGAAGAGUUGGUUCUUACAGCCUGGGGCAAGACAACACCAAAUGCCACACAGGAAAACAUGAAGGUUGCAUUUUGGAAACAGAGUGAAGCUGGAGUUUGGGAAGGCAGAUUUGCAGUAUCAAG